AGAAGAUUUAUCUAAUUUUAUAUAUAGCCUAAUUAUUUAAAUACAUUUCUCCAAAUAUUAUAUAUAACUUAAACACCUCGUCUUAAGUCAACGUGGGACAAUAAUAAGGUCCACAAUAUUCAACAGUUGCGAUGAAAUUGAUUUAUGCAUAUUAGUUUCACGGUGUAAUUUUCCCUCGCCCACUUCUAGUCGAUGCUUUGCCGUCACGGGCCUCCUUCGCUAGUGCUUUGUUGUUGCAUGCUUCCUUGCUUUCUUUAGUUGCAACUACAGGUUGACAGAGACAUCUCUAACGGAUGCAGAAGAGGGAAAGCUAUUUUAUCAAGAGAAUAGCAUGGGACUCGACGGGGUAAACAACGGUUGACCUUGUGGCAUGUGCUCAGUACUCAGGACAAGCAAACAAUCGAUGGCCGUACUCCUGUUUCUUGUUUAUAUACUUUAUGUUCAUUUAAAUAUGCUUAAUCUCAAUGCUAUUGUUUCUAGGUUUUAUGGUUCAAUUUGCUCUAUCAUC
RNAcentral lists this unclassified non-coding RNA (508 nucleotides) under Hevea brasiliensis (rubber tree). The record is from RNAcentral. Lineage: Eukaryota; Viridiplantae; Streptophyta; Magnoliopsida; Malpighiales; Euphorbiaceae.